This 3223-nucleotide long non-coding RNA is filed under the name Pan troglodytes (chimpanzee). RNAcentral describes it as "lincRNA". Lineage: Eukaryota; Metazoa; Chordata; Mammalia; Primates; Hominidae. The record is from RNAcentral.
AACUCUGGAGGUGGAGGUUGCAGUGAGCUGAGAUCAUGCCACUGCACUCCAGCCUGGGUGACAGAGUGAGACUAUGUCUCAAAAAAAAAAAAAAAAGAAAGAAAGAAAAAUUUGAAGUAUAGAGGGGAAUCACAAAAAUUCUAAAUGGUAACUCAUGUCAGGAACCUGAAAGCCAAGUCUUCACUUCAGCAUUGGGAAGUAUAUGAAACUGUUUUCGGACCACACAACUCUGUGAGCUCAUCGCUAAGAAUUGGUAUGCAAGGUCUUCAGAAGGGUAGGCAAUUUGUAAACUCCUUUUGACUUAGCUGGUAAGACAGAAAGUUCUUUUUUCAUGGCUAAAUGAUACUUGAGAAAAGAAAAAAUGUGGUGAAGCUGAAUGUAUCUAGUUGAAAUAAAAAUGCCUACCUUUCUCCUGCGUAAGCAAAAUAUACUACUUACAAAAAAAAAAAGGAAUUUAUGAAUAGAAAUAGAAUCAGGUCACAGUGCAUUUCCUAAUUCUCCACUGGAUUUUAUUACUCAAGCACUGUAUUUUUACCUUUUAUCAUAGCUGUCAUUCGUCCUUGUACUUUAGAUAGCAGCUUAUCAACCCUUGUUAUAUCCUUAGCUUCUUUAGGGUGAUGAUCUUAUCUUUAUUUUUGACCACACUUCCUGUGCCUGCCCCUUUUCUUACAUCAAUUUCUGUUCCACUUGGGAUUUUGUACUCACAGAUGUGACAUGAAUAUUUAUGAGAUUAAAGUGAAUGGUCCAACAUCAAUUCAGAAAAAUUUUGAUCCAUUCGUCCAAAUUAUUUAAAAUAUUCCCUUUCCAAUUGAGGCAGCAAGGCCUCUAGCUUAGUGCUCAUUUUCCCUCUCUAAGCAUAUUCAUGCCAUUAGGGUAUUAAUUUCUUCUAAACUAAAGCUCUUAUCUCCUCAUAAUUCAUUAUGUCUGUUUUUGAUUCCCACUAUCAUUGUGGUCUCUCAACUUACUCCUGUUAACACAGUCAUUUUGGUGGCUUUUAUAAUACCUCCUCUGUUGUUCUUCAAAUUUUGCCUAAAUAGGCAAUAACUUAAAUGAAAAACUGUUCAUGAGUGAGCCAGUGAGCUCAGAAAUUUGGAACCCUUUUGCCAUGGAGGGUGAUGGUGAGCUUAGUGAUAACAAGAAUUUUCCAAUUAUGGCAUCUACCUUUCUAAUCAUCUCUCCUUCCAUGUGAUACUGUUUUUAUAUAGUUUGUUUUGCCUGCCUCCCUCCCUUCCCAUCUCUCUUCUUUCCUCCCUUCCUUCUCUCCUUUCCUUCCACUCUUCUUUCCUUUAUGGGAAAAACCAUUCUAAAUCCUUCAAGUUGUGGUUUGAGUUUAGAGUCUUUUAUUGAAAUUACAUGUUGGUAUGCUAGGAGUAUAUGAAAGCUUUUUUUCCAAUUUGCAAAAAAUGUUUAUAUGAUUUUAUUAUUUUUAUAUGAUUUUUGUAUUAAAAUCAUCCCAGAUAUCCCCAAAAUAGAAUGCAAAGUUUACAUUUUAAAUUUACGUUGAAAUUUUAAAUAAAUUUUCUUCUAAGUUGUCUUUGGAUUACAUAUCCAGACAGAUUGGAGGCAUCAAAAUACUUCCCACUCCUUUUUCAAUGUUUUUAGGGAUAUUGCUAUGACAUUUUUGAGAAGUAUUCGAAACAACUCUAUUAAGAUAAGCUCCUUUUCUUUAUUGUCUUCAUCUUAUAUCUCUGGCUGUCAAUGAAAUUCUAUCAUUUCCCACUCAAAGCCCAAUUGAUCUCUGGAAGGAGGUGGGGUGUGCCCUUGUAUGAGCUCUUAAGAAUUUAUUUAGCAUUUUUUUCUAGCUCUUCCAUCAGUGAAAUCAAGAUGGUAGCUGAAAUUUACCACGGUGGAGGAUAUUUACAGCACAGAAAUUGGCAAAGGCUACAAAUAAGUUUAAUUUUUUUUUUUUUAGAACUCGUUAAGUAUGUACCAGCACACCCUGUAAGGUUGAUUGAUGCUUGAUCUAGGUGUCUUCCGCAUGCUUUGUGUGUUACUCCUGUGGCUUUACCAGCUAUUAUGCAUUAGUCUCUGGGGAUAAGGGAAGUAAUAAACCUUUGUCCCAGGUCUCAUAAAUAGCUUGGUUAUUAAUCAAAUGAUCAUUUGGUCUGGCUUCCUUUGUUCGGUCCUAUGCUUGUAAGUAUGGAUGUGUUAGCUCUAGACAGAACCAUAGAUAAGGGAGCUAAAGCCCAGAGUGAUUAAUGACGUACAAGGUCACAAUUCUAGUUACAGGGAAAGAUGCUGGGACAAGAAUCCGGGUUUUCUGAGUCCCAGGUAGGUUUUGUUGCUGUUAUACAACUCUCUAAUAAUUUUUAAAAAAUCCUAAAUCAUAAAUAUUCCAUUGUAAUAGCUUCAGAAAGCAUUGCAAGCUACAGAUUUAGCUCUAAUACUAUUAAUCUUUGCUUUUUUUCUAAUCUAAAAACUAGGAUACAUUAAGAAAAGUAGAAAAUGUAAAAAUAUUGGUAAAAAACCAAAACUCCUAACAAAUUAAUAUAUAUAUGUUAAGAGAGACAUACGUUCAAACAAUUUACUAUCAUCUGUCAACUUUUAAAGGAAUGCCUUGAUCUAGCUCUUAUGACUUUCAAUCGAAGUGACACAAUUUUUCCAGUAAUUUUAACAGUUUCUCCCAGCUUACUUGUUAAAGAAAUUUGUAACAUCUUUAGCAAGAAACAGAAAGACAGAGGGCAGCAUGGGACCAGAGUGCAGCUGUCCUUCAGAAGAACCUGACUGUACAACUUGCACAUCUGAAGAGGUAGCCAAGAAAAUAGAGAAAAGAAUGGGAAGUGGAUCUACCCACAUCCUCUCCCAUCCCCUCCAGAAAGAAAUGCAGCAUCUCUUUCUCAUUGUUUAAGAAGAAAAGGGGGAUCUCGGAGACAAAGCCAAUGAAGGAUAAAUGAGUGCUCUGCCAGUUCAAAGUCAAUGUGAAGAUUGGAUGGGGAAGCGUGCGGAGCUCAGAAGCAUUUUUUUUUUCCAGAGCAAGAGAAAAUCCAGUGACUGAAAAAGAAUAAGAAGAAAAACACUGACCAAGGCAAUAAUUCCAAGAAGUCAAAAAUUAAGGCCUGAGAGGAAGAAGGCAGACUAAAGAAAGUAGGAAAGAUGCAAGGAGAAAGACAGCCAUCUGCAUACCAGGAAGAGGGCCCUCACCAGACACUGGAUCUGCUGCAGCCUUGAUCUUGGGCUUCCAACCUCUAGAACCAUGUGAAAUACAUUUCUGUUGUUUAAACCA